AGCAGCCGCGGUAAUUCCAGCUCCAAUAGCGUAUAUUAAAGUUGUUGCAGUUAAAAAGCUCGUAGUUGAAUUUCGGGAUCAUCAGGUUGGUCGUGCCUCUGGUAUGUACUUUCCUCGAUGGUUCCUCCCUCUUGAAGAACCGUAAUGCCAUUAAUUUGGCGUUGCGGGGAAACAGGACUGUUACUUUGAAAAAAUUAGAGUGUUUAAAGCAGGCAAUCGCUUGAAUACAUUAGCAUGGAAUAAUGAAAUAGGACGUUCGAUCCUAUUUUGUUGGUUUCUAGGAUUGACGUAGUGAUUAAUAGGGAUAGUUGGGGGCAUUAGUAUUCAAUUGUCAGAGGUGAAAUUCUUGGAUUUAUUGAAGACUAACUACUGCGAAAGCAUUUGCCAAGGAUGUUUUCAUUAAUCAAGAACGAAAGUUAGGGGAUCGAAGACGAUCAGAUACCGUCGUAGUCUUAACCAUAAACUAUGCCGACUAGGGAUCGGAUGAUGUUAAUUUUUUAAUGUACUCAUUCGGCGCCUU
Molecule: ribosomal RNA, 520 nt
Filed under: uncultured Glomus
Lineage: Eukaryota; Fungi; Glomeromycota; Glomeromycetes; Glomerales; Glomeraceae
Description: SSU rRNA
Rfam family: Eukaryotic small subunit ribosomal RNA
Source: RNAcentral